Molecule: signal recognition particle RNA, 99 nt
Filed under: Paludibacterium purpuratum
Lineage: Bacteria; Pseudomonadati; Pseudomonadota; Betaproteobacteria; Neisseriales; Chromobacteriaceae
Also listed under: 1 other name
Description: Bacterial small signal recognition particle RNA
Rfam family: Bacterial small signal recognition particle RNA
About the family: The signal recognition particle (SRP) is a universally conserved ribonucleoprotein involved in the co-translational targeting of proteins to membranes. Archaeal SRP consists of a 7S RNA and homologues of the eukaryotic SRP19 and SRP54 proteins.
Source: Rfam by way of RNAcentral
GGCGGGUCUCCCCGCAUUGCAUCGCGGUUCACCUGGUCAGGUCCGGAAGGAAGCAGCCAAAGCCGCAUCGUGCAAGUGCCGGGGGUCAGGCUCGCCACC